Perognathus longimembris pacificus (Pacific pocket mouse) is the source of this 870-nucleotide long non-coding RNA. RefSeq lists it as uncharacterized. The transcript has 3 exons. Lineage: Eukaryota; Metazoa; Chordata; Mammalia; Rodentia; Heteromyidae. The record is from RefSeq and is a predicted model, not a curated record.
GAUCUGAGGAUCAUGAAAUCCAGCCCAAGCAGGACAAAGGUUGUUAGACUCUUCUCUCUCCAAUGACCUACCAAAGAGCCGGACGUGGCACUGUGGCUCAAAGCUGUAGAGCCGCUAGCCUUGAGUUCAAGGCUCAGGACCUGCAUUAAAAAAAAGAAAGGUUAGGGUGACAGAAGGCAGAGAGAAAUAGUUCACCAGUGAUAAAAAUGGAUUUCAGUGUCUUCCUGCCUCGCCAUUCACCAGCUGCCUUCAUGAAAUGCCUCCUAACAACCGGAAGCGGCCAAGCCCAGGGGCCGGGGAGCUGCUUCCUCACCUCAGGCCCCAGACCCUCCAGAUCUGCCCAGUCUUCUACCCCUCCUCACCAGCCUCCUUCUCCCCUUCCCUCUCAAAUGCCAAUCUGUGGGGGCCCUGGGGGGUGACUGAGCCCCAUUCCCCAUUCUCAGACCAAUUAAUUGCACUAUUGGGGUGCAGAAGAAUUGCCAAAGACUGGAAAAACCUGCUUGGGGAAAGGCUUUGGGCGUCUUAGAGGAGCAAGGUAAUACUUGAGAAAGUUCAAGGGCGGUGGGGGGGGAUGUUUGCCCAUUCCUGGCACCCUUCCCAACCCCCCCAAACAGCAACUCGCUCAAUAAUUCCCACUUUUAUACUUUCCUCCCCAGCCCAGGUUCCCUCAACUCACAAGCCACUUUGUAGGCUGUUUCAAAUACAGUGUAGGAAGGGGUGCCCAGGGACAUUUGCUGGGGAUACCUGUUGUUCCCCACAAAGACUUUUGAAAGCCAGGCACUGCCCAUGACGCAUGCCUGUAAUCCCAGUCAUUCAGGAUGCUGAGAUGUCAGGAUCCAGGUUCAAAGCUGGCCUGGGUAAGAAAGUCCA